This 253-nucleotide ribosomal RNA is filed under the name uncultured bacterium. Its description in RNAcentral is "partial 16S ribosomal RNA". It matches the Rfam family "Bacterial small subunit ribosomal RNA", at positions 524 to 776 of the family's 1533-position model. The record is from RNAcentral.
UACGAAGGGUGCAAGCGUUACUCGGAAUUACUGGGCGUAAAGCGUGCGUAGGUGGUUUGUUAAGUCUGUUGUGAAAGCCCCGGGCUCAACCUGGGAAUGGCAAUGGAUACUGGCAAGCUAGAGUGCGGUAGAGGGUAGUGGAAUUCCCGGUGUAGCGGUGAAAUGCGUAGAGAUCGGGAGGAACACCAGUGGCGAAGGCGGCUACCUGGACCAGCACUGACACUGAGGCACGAAAGCGUGGGGAGCAAACGUG